Long non-coding RNA from Micropterus salmoides (largemouth bass), 395 nucleotides. RefSeq lists it as uncharacterized. The record is from RefSeq and is a predicted model, not a curated record. Lineage: Eukaryota; Metazoa; Chordata; Actinopteri; Centrarchiformes; Centrarchidae. The transcript has 2 exons.
UAUUACGAGUUCCGAAGCAUUUUUUUUUUUCCGAUCUAUUGUUUUUUCAAUGAUCAAAUAAGAGAAAUCCGUCCUCUAAUAAAAAUUUCUACACAAAAUGAAGUACCUGACUCUCAAACCCUUUUUUGUCUUUUUUGUCUAUCCCUUUGUGUCUGUGUGCUGUGGCCGUGGAAUUGAUUCACUCUUCCUCCUGGAUCCUGGGGACCAUGCUCACCUGCCUACAAGCUCUCAAUCUGGCUCUCCAGACCAAAGCCAGCAAGUCACACACUUCUCUCAUUAAGUAAGCUCUGUUUGACGUCAGCCACUGCAAACUGCUCUCUGCCUACCCCAGCGGCAUCGCUGUUUACUCCAUCUCAAUUUGCUGCUCCUUUUUACAAUAAAUCUCUUAUUCUCUA